RNAcentral lists this ribosomal RNA (612 nucleotides) under Pseudomonas sp. SVBP8. RNAcentral's name for it is "bacterial SSU rRNA". It matches the Rfam family "Bacterial small subunit ribosomal RNA", at positions 94 to 701 of the family's 1533-position model. The record is from RNAcentral. Lineage: Bacteria; Pseudomonadati; Pseudomonadota; Gammaproteobacteria; Pseudomonadales; Pseudomonadaceae.
AGCGGCGGACGGGUGAGUAAUGCCUAGGAAUCUGCCUGGUAGUGGGGGAUAACGUNCGGAAACGGACGCUAAUACCGCAUACGUCCUACGGGAGAAAGCAGGGGACCUUCGGGCCUUGCGCUAUCAGAUGAGCCUAGGUCGGAUUAGCUAGUUGGUGAGGUAAUGGCUCACCAAGGCGACGAUCCGUAACUGGUCUGAGAGGAUGAUCAGUCACACUGGAACUGAGACNCGGUCCAGACUCCUACGGGAGGCAGCAGUGGGGAAUAUUGGACAAUGGGCGAAAGCCUGAUCCAGCCAUGCCGCGUGUGUGAANAAGGUCUUCGGAUUGUAAAGCACUUUAAGUUGGGAGGAAGGGUACUUACCUAAUACGUGAGUAUUUUGACGUUACCGACAGAAUAAGCACCGGCUAACUCUGUGCCAGCAGCCGCGGUAAUACAGAGGGUGCAAGCGUUAAUCGGAAUUACUGGGCGUAAAGCGCGCGUAGGUGGUUCGUUAAGUUGGAUGUGAAAUCCCCGGGCUCAACCUGGGAACUGCAUCCAAAACUGGCGAGCUAGAGUAUGGUAGAGGGUGGUGGAAUUUUCCUGUGUAUCGGUGAAAUGCGUAUAUAUAUGA